GGCGACGAUCGGUAGCUGGUCUGAGAGGAUGAGCAGCCACACUGGAACUGAGACACGGUCCAGACUCCUACGGGAGGCAGCAGUGGGGAAUUUUCCGCAAUGGGCGAAAGCCUGACGGAGCAACGCCGCGUGGGGGAAGAAGGUUCUUGGAUUGUAAACCCCUUUUCUCAGGGAAGAAGUUCUGACGGUACCUGAGGAAUCAGCCUCGGCUAACUCCGUGCCAGCAGCCGCGGUAAUACGGAGGAGGCAAGCGUUAUCCGGAAUCAUUGGGCGUAAAGCGUUCGUAGGCGGCUGUUCAAGUCUGCUGUCAAAGACCGAGGCUCAACCUCGGGUCGGCAGUGGAAACUGGAUAGCUAGAGGUCGGUAGGGGCAAAGGGAAUUCCCAGUGUAGCGGUGAAAUGCGUAGAUAUUGGGGAAGAACACCGGUGGCGAAAGCGCUUUGCUGGACCGAACCUGACGCUGAGGGACGAAAGCUAGGGGAGCGAAUGGGAUUAGAUACCCCA
This 503-nucleotide ribosomal RNA is filed under the name Geitlerinema sp. MBTD-CMFRI-S100. RNAcentral describes it as "bacterial SSU rRNA". It matches the Rfam family "Bacterial small subunit ribosomal RNA", at positions 272 to 789 of the family's 1533-position model. The record is from RNAcentral. Lineage: Bacteria; Bacillati; Cyanobacteriota; Cyanophyceae; Geitlerinematales; Geitlerinemataceae.